This 299-nucleotide unclassified non-coding RNA is filed under the name uncultured Agaricales. Its description in RNAcentral is "sequence contains 5.8S rRNA gene, ITS2, 28S rRNA gene". The stretch from base 1 to 52 matches the Rfam family "5.8S ribosomal RNA", at positions 103 to 154 of the family's 154-position model. The record is from RNAcentral. Lineage: Eukaryota; Fungi; Basidiomycota; Agaricomycetes; Agaricales.
AACGCACCUUGCGCUCCUUGGUAUUCCGAGGAGCAUGCCUGUUUGAGUGUCAUUAAAUUCUCAACCUCAUCAGUUUUGUUAACAAGACAGGUGAAGGCUUGGAUGUGGGGGUUUUGCAGGCUGCCUCAGUGCUGGUCUGCUCCCCUGAAAUGCAUUAGCGAGCUCAUUGAGCCUCCGUCUAUUGGUGUGAUAAUUAUCUACGCCGUGGAUUGGACUCAUGCUUGCUUCUAACCAUCCGCAAGGACAAUCUACUUGACCAAUUUGACCUCAAAUCAGGUAGGACUACCCGCUGAACUUAA